Non-coding RNA from Camellia sinensis, 429 nucleotides. The record is from RefSeq and is a predicted model, not a curated record. Lineage: Eukaryota; Viridiplantae; Streptophyta; Magnoliopsida; Ericales; Theaceae.
AUAGUGGACCAAAAGCUAUGGAAUUUUUUUAUUAGCAGUUCUCUAUAACGUCGUGUGUUCAAUUUUCUAUGAUAUAUAUGUAUCUUUGUUCAAUGAUUAUUUUGUAUUUGAUAGACAAUGGUCUUGUUGGGCAUACAAAACUUGUGCAUAGAAGCUAUUUGAGGAUUUGUCAAAGAGACUAAUACUUCAUUGGCUCCAAGGAUUUCCCCUCUUGUUUGUAACAAGAAACCACAAGAAUUCGACAAGUCAGGUGUUUGAAGAUGUUUCCGAGACAACCCAUCAAUCCUGCUGUUGAAAAACUUAUUGUAUACCAUUAGUAUGCAAGUAUAGAACAAUCCAUCUUCUUAGUACCCAAAAGGCAGAAAAAGUAAGUGAAGAAAAAUUUAGAAUUGGUAAUAAAUAAGUCCAAUUAAUUGGUCUGAUUGGUAA